Lepisosteus oculatus (spotted gar) is the source of this 393-nucleotide long non-coding RNA. RefSeq lists it as uncharacterized. Lineage: Eukaryota; Metazoa; Chordata; Actinopteri; Semionotiformes; Lepisosteidae. The record is from RefSeq and is a predicted model, not a curated record.
CAAUAAAGGAAGAAAAAAGAACUACAAGUGAUAGCUGUCAAAUACAUCUAAAAACAUUUUAUUUUUCCAGUUCAGACCAGUGACAAUUUCAAGAGGUACCAGAAAUGAACACUGCCCCAGUUUCUCACCGAAGCUUCCCUUUCAGAAUCAUCAAACAAAAUGACGUUAGACAGCACUAGGAAAGAAUGGCACAUACCCUGAAGAAAAGAAAAGAGAACAUCAGUUGCUGCAAGAAGUUACCAGAAGUUACAUAACACAGUUUAUCGAUAGAUUACGAAAUGAAACAUUUACUGAGACCCAAAAAGGAAGCCAAAUUAAGGGUAUGGCCGCCACCUAGUGGAAGCACUGGGGUACGGAAAUCUUACUUUUUUACAUAAAGACAGGUGAUCAAUA